GUUUCUUGACUUUUACGAGACACACACGGAGAGAGAAAGUGUUAUGGUUAGAAUCGGGAUGCGUUUCAGACAACCACACUUGAAACGAAUGAAUACAUAUAUUUGGAAAGCUGAGGGCUUGUUGUAGUUUUCAGAAGUGGGUUCAGUUGAGAAACUUCAAACUUCCCUCCAUCCUCUCUCUCUCUCUCUCUCUCUCUCUACAAGGUAUAGCCUUCGGCGCACAUGCUUUGGUGCUUUCGUUUGAAACUUACAAUGGAGAUUUGAUAUAUAAGGAGGAAGUUUGAAAUUCACAGAGGUGUUUCUGUUGAUGUUUCUUGACUUGGGUUUUUGGUUUUCAAGUUAUAGAGCCUCCAGAAACACAUCAUUUGGAAGAGUCUAAGCUUCUAGAGUUGUGAACUCUUAAAUUUCUAUACAACCCCGUCUGCGUUUAUAUCAGAGUUUCCAGUCAGAUUAAGUUUUAGGAAAAUUCAAGCUGAUGUAUCAAAAGCAAAGAUUGAAGAUGUAUUAAAAGCUAUACCUAAAGGCAGCCAUUGAAAGCAUUUAUUGCACAAAGUUUUCUCUCCGAACUUUCUGUAAGUAUAAUGUCAUUGCUAACCCAUGUCCCUUGCAUGCUCACUUCUCCCAAUCUUCCUCUUCUUCUUCUGUUCUUAAUUAAUCUUUUUCCUUUCUUAAUUCUGUCCUUUAAUUCUCUUAUUGGUCAUUGUUGCAAGUUAAAGCUAAGCUAAUUCUAAUGCUAUCAUCGAGCCACCAGAUUAGAACUUUGUCGGCCUGCAAACAUCUGCAAGUUGCAGUUUCCAUCAUACUUCUUCUUCGAUCUUUUUUCUGAUUCUUUAAACAGAAGAAAACUGUUAUUUUGUUUUUCUUUUUUGUUCCUUUCGAUGUCUAGCGGGUCUAGAUCAUGUCGGUUAAAAAAUGUUCUUUGUGACAAACAGGAUCCAAGAAUAAGUCCAGAAUUCUUCAAGCCUCAAGUGGAGAAGCAACAGAGCUGGACAGAACCAUACACAACAUAUCCUUUAAGAGAGUACUACCUAUACGCAACGUUUUGUUUAUUGAAGGUUCUCUUUUGAAUCUGCAAACAUAAAACACACCGUUUUAUUUAUGUAAAGUUUGAAAUUCAGUUAGUGUAGAUAGUUAGUUGUAUAAAUUAGAAUAAUUAGUUUUUUUGCUUUCUGUCAAUUGCUCAUUGCCCUAUGUAUAUAAGACAAGGGACAAACUAUCCUUUGUGGGAAAUUUCAUUCUGAAACAGAUCAGAAUUCUUUUCAACCGCCUUAGCAUUUUCUUCCCAUUUUCAUAUUCUGUCUUGGUACCAGAGCAGGUAGGACUGAGGACCAGACGAAUAGGGCUUUGACAGCAAAUUUUUUUUUGGAGUGGUGGUUUUAAUAGAACAGUGAGUAUACUGGUUAUCCUUUCAUCCUUUAUUCUUUAGCUUUCAUUUACUUGCCUAUUAGCUGAGAAAAUGUUUGAAUCAAGUGAAUCAACCACUAGAAACACUGCACCUAAACCACAGCUCACAUCACAGGUUUCACAAGCUAAUGAUCCCCAAUCACCAUAUUACCUUCAUCACACUGACCACCUUGGUUCAGUGGUUGUAAACCCCAAACUCACCACAAACAACUAUGUUGCAUGGAGCCGAUCUUUCUUACUAACCUUGUCAAUCAAAAACAAGGCUGGAUUCAUAAAUGGCUCCAUUCCCAAGCCUUCAAUCACUAAUGAUCUAUAUCCUAUCUGGAACAGAUGCAAUAACCUCAAAGUAUCCUGGUUAUUAGAUUCUAUCUCCCAACCAAUAGCCUCUACCAUCUUCUUUAUGGAAUCUGCUGCUGAAAUUUGGAAUACCCUGAAACUGAACUAUGCUCAACCUGAUGAUACCCGUGUUUGUAAUCUUCAAUACACACUUGGAAGUGUAAUUCAAGGAGUCAAAACAGUAGAUGCCUAUUUUAUAGAGCUAAAAUGCAUAUGGGAAGAACUAAGAAACUAUAGGCCCUUGCCACAUUGCGAAUGUGAAAAAUGCAAUGCCAGUUGCUUCAAGAAAUUCUCUAAUCAAUACCAAAAGGACAUGGUAUUUAGGUUCCUCAAUGGUUUGAAUGAAUCCUUCUUAACCAUUAGGUCCCAAAUCAUUCUAAUGGACCCAAUACCAACACUAGACAAGGUUUAUAGCAUGGUACUGAGAGAAGAAUCAUAGAGAAAUAUGUUCCUGCAAUCCCAACCCUUCCUUGAGUCUUCAGCAAUGUUAGGUACUACUGAUGUAAAGAGAAAGCCAAGGAAGGAUCUUACUUGUACUCACUGUGGGAAGAAAGGACAUGUAAAGGAGAAGUGUUAUAAGAUAAUUGGUUUUCUAGAGGAUUUUAAAUUCACUAAAGGGAAGCCUCAUGUGAAGAAAGGGGCAGCUGUAAACAGUUUUACUACAGCAGUUGAACCACAGCCAGAUGACAAUCAAGCAAAUCAUGUGGAGGAGAUAGGAGGCUCUAGUUCCAUGUCACAGAUGACUAUGCUUAAGCAGCAAGUUAACAAGUUAAUGGAUCUCUUAAAUGAGAAUGGUUUAAUUAGCAAUGAUGGUAAGAGCGCCCCUGCAAACACUUAACCCAACAAACACUCACUUGUUAAUUCUGCCUUUGCAGGUAUAGUCUCUAAUUACCCUUGCUUCAAUACACAUAAUAAUUUGCCAUUUGAAUUCAAGCAUGUUAACACUAUCAUGAUUAAGCAUGGACAUUGGAUCAUGGACUCAAGUGCAACAGAUCAUAUAGCCUAUUCCUUAGAUAAUUUUCUUCAAGCCAACCCUGUAGAGAACUAUUUUGUUCAACUGCCAAAUGAUAGAAGAACAUUAGUUUCCCAUAUAGGCACAGUUAAAGUAAACUCUUCAUUGAUUCUAUAUGAUGUCCUGUGUGUACCAAGCUUUAAAUUCAAUAUAAUAUCAAAAGUAAACUUACCUGUAGCAAGAAAAACUAUGUGCUGUUUAUCGACUCACAUUGUAUUAUCCAGGAUACCCUCUCUUGGACAGUGAUUGGGGUUGUUAGGGCUACUUCAGGGUUAUAUCUUAUGCAAGACAGUGAGCAGGAUAUGUCUAGAUUUUGUUUUGACAAAGUUGUAAAGUUUCCUUCAAUUUUCUCUAUCGAUUCUUGUAAACCAGAAAACAAAAUCAAAGGUUUUAAUAUUUGGCACUUUAGGUUAGGCCAUGCACCUUUAGAAUGGAUUAAUGUGAUCCACCAACAUUGUCCAGUUGUUGAUUGUUCAAAUGAAUUAAUAUGUGAGAUCUGCCCUUUGGCAAAGCAAAGAAAGCUUUCUUUUCCUCUUCAUAUUCAAAGUACAAAUGCUAUUUUUCAAUUAAUUCAUGCUGACAUUUGGGGACCUUGUGAGGUUUCAACUUUAUCAGAACAAAGAUAUUUUUUAACUAUUGUGUAUGACUUUUCUUGAUUCACUUGGGUAUUCUUAAUGAGAAACAAGUCAGAAGUCUCAACUAUUAUUCCUUCUUUUGAUACAUAUGUACAAAAAUAGUUUAAUUGCUCAAUUAAAUGCAUAAGAUCAAAUAAUGGGAAUGAGUUUAGACUUACUGAUUUUUUCACCAAAACUGGCAUAGUUCAUUAGCUGUCCUAUGUAGGUAACCCUCAGUAGAAUGGUGUUGUUGAAAGAAAACACCAACACAUUCUGAUGGUUGCAAGAGCCUUAAUACAUCAGUCAAGUAUCCCUCUUUAUUUCUGGGGAGAUGCAGUCCUCACUGCAGUUCACAUAAUUAAUAGGGUACCUAGCAAAAUAAUUCACAAUAAGUCACCAUUUGAAUUGUUACAUGGAAAGCUACCAUCAUAUGACCAUCUCAAAGUUUUUGGAUGUUUAUGUUUUGUUUCCACCUUAACACAAAAUAGAAAGAAGUUGGACCCGAUAGCAAGCAAAUGUAUUUUUUUAGGCUAUCCAAAUAAUGUAAAAGGGUAUAAGGUAUAUGAUCUUUGUGAACAAGAGGUCCUAAUAUCAAGGGAUAUUGUUUUUCAUGAGCAUGUGUUUCCAUUUCAUUCAUCAAGCAAUAACAUGCAGUCUGAUGCAUUUUAUCAAACACAUAGUAUGCAUGAUGAAUACAUGGAAGAUUUUGAUGCUAAUUGUCCAUAUCAGCCUUACCAACAGCACACAACACCUGAAUUAUGUUCUCUUGAGCCUUCUUCAUCAUCUGAAACAUUUUCUUCAUUGAAUUCAAGUGACAUUUUCCUCAAUCCACCCUUAAACGACAGCAUAUCACAAACUGUAGACAGUUUUAAUGUUGAUAUGAGUACUUCUCAAGAAGCAGUAGCACCAGCCAGAAGAAGUACAAGACAAAAACAACCUCCUAAGUACCUUGAUGCAUAUUAUGUUGACAUACCUUCACAAUCUAAUUCUAUUACCCUUCAUCCAAUAACCAAGCACCUAUCAACUAAAUAACUCCCACCUGCACAUAAGGCAUUUACUAUUACUUUGUCCCAUAUUCAUGAGCCAAAUUCUUACCAUCAAGCUAUAAACUAUUCUCAUUGGAGAGAAGCAAUGGACCUAGAACUGAAAGCUUUGCAAGACAAUGGUACAUGGACCAUAGAACCUCUACCUUCAAAUUCACAUGUAAUUGGCUGCAAGUGGGUAUACAAGGUUAAAAUGAAGGCAAAUGGUGAAAUUGAAAGAUAUAAGGCAAGAUUGGUUGCUAAAGGGUACAACCAAGUUGCAAGAUUUGAUUACCAAGAGAUUUUUAGUACUGUAGCAAAACAGUCCACCAUUAGAGUGUUCUUUGCUCUAGCUGCUACAAAUAGUUGGUCUUUAUCACAAUUAGAUAUUAAUAAUGCCUUCCUUAAUGGUGAUCUAGAUGAAGCAAUAUAUAUGGAGAUACCACAAGGUUAUGCUGUCCAGGGGGAGUGUCCAAAAGGAUCCAAACUUGUUUGCAAACUAUACAAAUCCUUAUAUGGUUUAAAGCAAGCUUCCAGACGGUGGAAUGCCAAACUUACUGCUUCACUUUUGCAAUUUGGAUUCACUCAAUCAUCAACAAAUCAUUCUUUAUUUACUAUGAAGACUCCUAUUGGAAAUUUCGUUGCUCUUCUCGUGUAUGUAGAUGACAUGCUCAUUGGGAGUACAUUUAUUAAUGCUGCAUCAGAAGUGAAAGAGUUUUUAAACUCAAAAUUCAAGCUCAAGGAUCUUGGAGAUGUCAAAUACUUCCUUGGACUUGAAAUCAUUGAUAUACCAAAAGAAAUCUCUAUAAGUCAGAGAAAGUACACUUUAGAUCUCCUUGAAGAACAAGGGAUGUUGGGAGCUCAACCUACAAGCACUCCCAUUGACUACAAUCAUAAAUUGCAGAAAGCACAAGAUGGAGAAGAAUUAUUGAAGGAUCCAACAUGUUACAGACAAUUUAUAGACAAACUGCUAUAUCUUACUUUUAGCAAGCCUGAUAUAUCUUAUGCAGUGCAAACAUUAUCACAGUUCAUGGACAGACCUAGUCAGAUGCAUUUGAUGGCAGCUCAUAGAAUAUUAAAGUAUUUGAAAAAUGCUGUUGGGCAAGGAAUUCUAAUGAAAAGAAUAUCAAAUCUCAAGAUCACAGCUUACUCAGACAGUGAUUGGGCUGGAUGUCCUCAUAGUAGGAGAUCAAUCAUAGGAUAUUGUGUGUUUAUUGGAGACACUCUUGUCAGCUGGAAAUCCAAAAAGCAAGCUGUUGUUGCUCGCAGUUCUGCUGAAGCAAAGUAUCGUUCCAUGGCAUCCACCUGUUGUGAAUUAAUGUGGCUGAAGCACCUGCUGACUGAUUUUAAGAUAGACCAUGAUGAUCCUAUAGACUUGUAUUCAGAUAGUCAAUUUGCCAUUCAUAUCAGCAAGAAUCCUGUGUACCAUGAACGAACAAAACACAUCGAGAUGGAUUGUCACUUCAUCCGAGAAAAGGUGUUAGCAGGUAUAAUUAAGCCUCUUUACAUAUCCACUGAUCUGCAAGCAGCUGAUAUUUUUACCAAGGCUUUGUUACCAAAGCAAUUUUAUAAGCUACUAGGCAAGUUGAGUGUUCAUGAUAUUCACACCUCCUCUUGAGGGGGAAUGACAAACAGGAUCUAAGAAUAAGUCCAGAAUUCUUCAAGGCUCAAGUGGAGAAGCAACAGAGCUGGACAGAACUAUACACAACCUAUCCUUUAAGAGAGUACUACCUGUACGCAGCGUUUUGUUUAUUAAAGGUUCUCUUUUGAAUCUGCACACAUAAAACACACCGUUUCAUUUAUGUAAAGUUUAAAAUUCAGUUAGUGUAGAUAGUUAGUUGUAUAAAUUAGGAUAAUUAGUUUUUCUAUUUUCUGUUAAUUGCUCAUUGCCCUAUGUAUAUAAGACAAGGGAUAAACUAUCCUUCGUGAGGAAUUUCAUUCUAAAACAGAUCAGAAUUCUUUUCAACCGCCUUAGCCUUUUCUUCGCAAUUUCAUAUUCUGUCACUUUGCCUGUCGAGAAGUCAUUUCUUUCAAACCAGCCUACUUCUAGAAAAGUUUUUCAAACCCUUUUGACUGUCCUACACAAUAUAGGCAAAAAAAUAAUAUCUUUCUCCAUUUACACUUAAACUAGAUACCCUUUUGCUUUUCUUUUCUAAAGCUUAUUAUUAUGUGCUUCAAAGUUCCCUUGUUUCCAAUCCAACUGAAUUUGCAAAGGAAAAUCUCAACACUCAAACAAAGUAAACUAAAGCUCAAUGCUCUUUCCUUGAAAGGUUAUUGUGUACCUUAUUCCUUGUUUUCAUAUGAACUGCAAUGGUUUUUUCUCGGUACUUAUCCCAAUAAUAAAUUUGAAGAUAAUUGCAUAAUAUAAAUUAUCUGAUCUCAAUCAUAUAGGGGGUGCAUGGGGAUAGUGCCUUUGUGCCUAGCAAUAUUCAAACCCCUUCUGUCUUAAACCCACCAUUUUUGAUCAGUUAGGUUCCUUUUUUACAAAGUAUUAGGAACUUGUUUGCUGAGUUUCAGUGGUGUUUUAACUUGUUGAAUGGGUUAGUUGUUCCAUCCCUAGUGAGUUCAUACAGCACUUGCAUUUAAUGGGUUGGUUCCACUUUGCCAGGAAAAACAGUAGCAUUAAUUAUUCUUUGAUCAUUUGUCAAAGCAUUCUAAUUCCAAACUCGUAAAUAAUCUUUUUCCUUGUUUGACAGGGUAGAAAUGGGAUGCCCAAAUGCCACGAGACUGCUUCUGCCCUCAUUGUUUGCGCUGCUGAUUUUAGCCUUAACCUUCACAGAAACUACCGGGCAAUUCGAUUCAGCUAGUGCUUCUCUACCAGGUUUGGCCUAAACUUCUUUUGACUUCUCUAUUUCCUUUUUCCAUCAUUUAGAAGUCAAUAGUUUUCUUUGCAAUUAAGAAAAAAAGAAUUAAAUAUAUAUUUCAUAUAAAAUAAAAUACGUCUGUUAUGCAAUUUGAUACAAAUUUCAAUGAAAAUGAAUAAUAUAUGCUUUGAAUUUUUAAGUCAAAAUCGUAAAGGACGGUCCACGAACUUGGCAUUUGUUUUGUCAACAGUCAACCUAUAUCCUUUGCCGGUAGCUAAAUAAAUAAAUGCUAUCAGUCUUGAAGGAAGCAUUAAAAUAUAGUAUAAAUUAUUCUCAAUUUCUGGUCAAUUUGAUAAAUAAUAUGGGCCAAGUCUGGUUGUAUGACAAAUUAGUUGGGCUAAAAUACAAGUUCAACUUGGGUCUAACCUAAUGAUUCAUCAUGGGCCAAGCAGCUUGUGUACUUGUUGCAUAUAUUGAUAAGGUACAAAUUCAAUCAAUGUGUCACAACCCAUGAGACAAUCAGAUGGUAUUGUGAGGGUGGAUCCAUUGGACAAUUUCAAUAAGUAUAGAGGAGGAUUUGACAUCACUAACAAGCAUUAUUGGAGUGCAAUUCUAUGAACCCUUUCAGAUACAAUUUUAUUAUUACUUAAAUGGAUUUUUUAGUUGAAGUUCUUUUUUUUUUAUUAAAAAUAGCCGAGAUUAUGCAGACAGCUUUUGAAAUUAAUCUCAGAAAAAUUUCCACCUUGCUUUUUCUGCAGUCAGUUAUAUUUACAGGGGUCCCUGCGUAUGCAAUUGGACUUCUAUGGCUUUUGUUUGGAAUUUUAUAUGGAGGCUAUCUCGCGGCAACCGCUUACUGUUGUAAAAGAAAAGGAAAGCCUAAGACAAAAUCACUCUGUCACAACCAAUUUUGCUUAUGGCCUAUUCUCCUAGCUGUAAUCUUCACAAUCCUGGCAAUGUAAGUGCUUCAACUCUCUAGUAUAAUGAUGCUACAGCACUUCAAAAUUUGAUUGAAAUUCUCAUAUAUAUGUAUAUUUCAAUUACAAAGAUCAAAAGCAAUAGAGGAUUUGUUAGAAACUGUUCAUGAAUUGUGGCAAGCAUAACCCACUACUGAUCAAACACUGUAUAUAUUGUGUGAUCCUAAUUUCCUUGCAGUGCUGCAUCUGGUUUAGCUCUUGGGGGGACUGCUAAAUUCCAUUCUGAAGCGAAGACUGUGGUGAACAUUAUUAUGCGCACAGCAAAUGGAGCAUCAGAAACAAUAUACAACACUACAGGGGCAAUGAAAGAAAUGAGAGAUAACUUGGGAGAAACUAAUGGAACUGGAGAGGCAACUAGCUUUCUUACCUCCACAUCUGAGAAACUGGAUGUUGAAGCAGCAGAUAUAGAAAGACAGGCUAGAAAAAACAGACGAUUGAUUGACAGGGGUCUCAAGAUAGUGUAAAUCUCUCUCCUCUUCUUCUUUCCCCACCCAAUGAGAAAAAUUCCAAUUGCAUAUCAAUUAGAAGGAUGUUGAUACUUAUAUUUAUUUGAUGUUACAGGUUUAUAAUAACCAUUGUGACUAUCUCCUUGAACCUGGUAGCAGUUAUUGCUUUGUCAGGUAUGUUUAGAAGUGUUUCUGAAAAUUUUCAUUAUCAUAAACAAAACAAAAUUUAUAAUCCUUAUCAAGAAGGAAGUUGCCUUAAACUAAACUUAGAAUAUUUAUAUUUAAAUCGUAAAAGGUUGAAAUUAUAGUUGCCGAGCCUCUUAAAGCAGUCAAACUUAAAGGAAUAAUAAUGAUGAAUCCAAGAUAAGUUUUGGAUUCUUCCCGUCUAUUACUCAUGCUAUGGUUCUUUUGAAAGUUGAAUGAUUUCCUUAUGCAGUGACUGGAAUUUUGAGAGUAGGACGAGCACUUUACUGGUAAGGAACUUGACCAUUCAUGAAUCUAACUCAUCAUGCAUGUUGCCAAUCACUUGUUGAAAAGUGACAAAACUGACGUGAAGAAUAUUUUAUAUCUUACUCCUUUCAGGCUAAUUGCAAUAUGUUGGUUUACAAUUCUAUGCUGGUUGUUCUUCGGGAUUUAUUUCUUAAUAUAUUUCCGUGCACAUCUCCCUCCCUAUCUGUCUCUCUCCAGGUGCGUUUUGCCCUCUCUUUCUUUCUCUCCGCUUUCUCUUAAUCCAAUUAGAAUUAGAAUUAGAAUUAGAAUCAGAGCUCCCUUCAAUCUAAUAGGCCAUACUCUUUUAUCUCUUUGAAUUUUCUUUUAUUUUCAAAAACUUUGAGAAUUCUCUCCAUUUCUAAUCUGAGUCUUGCCCUUUUUCUGGCGGGAACUCAACAGCUGGCGGGAAGGAACCAACGAUUUCCUCUGGGAAUUCUGGGUUUGUUUUGUUUCCAUUAUUUGUUCUGUAAUACCCCAAGGAAAGGUGAAUUUUGAAGCUACACUGAUGGCAAACCCACCGGGGAACCAUCAACAAGAAGCGAAUCACGCGUCGUCUUCUUUCAAUGGAGGAAACUUGAGCAACGGGAGUACCAUACCUGACAGCUUGGGUUCGGGUAUGAAGCAUAACACCGGAAUUGCCUUGGAUUGGACCUUAGAGGAGCAAGCUAUACUCGACGAAGGGUUAAAAAAGUGAGUCUUUUUUUUCCUAUUUAUGAUUGCAUAGAAUUUUGGGUUUUUGGUGAAAUUUUAUUCUGUGAAUUUUGAGACUCUUUAAUUUCAAGUUUGAAUUUUUAAAUUCAAUUUUAAAAUACUAGGAAUGUGAAUUUUCUUGUUGGAUUCUUGAUUGAAUUGUGGUUUCUUUAUUGUUCCUUGGAACUGGUUGGAAACAAUACAUAAGGAGAUAGUCUACAUCUUACUGUGUUCGAGUUUAUAAAUGGCAGGGAAAGAAAAGGGAAGAAAUGUUUAGUAGCCAAUAAUCGUGGGAACAACAGAUUAUAUACCAUCAUGAUCCUUCUCAGAAUUUUAAUGGAGAUAGAGGUCGUUUUUCUGAAUGUCACUGAUUAUAUUUUACCUAAUUAUUUAUUGUUUUGUUAUAACCAUGCUGCUGUUAAUGAUCCAAUUGAAUUCUUUCGACAUUUGAGCUGAUGAACUCAUUAUUUAAUUUCUUUUAUCUUUUCUUCUUUUUGUUGGGAGUGGGCAAUGCAUCAAUAGUGCUUGUUCUAAAUCUGUUUGUAUUCCACAGGUAUAUAAUUUCAAUUCUAUGGUUUGAGGUGUUAUCGAUAUUCCCAAUUUACAUAUCAUAGUUGCAUUUUGAGUACUGAUAUGAUUUGGAUUGUGAAUGAGGUGUUUUAAAUGCUGUUUAAAAACCUUAUGCUUGUUGGUAUAAACUUUUGUCAUGCCAAGGCACACUAAGUAUUUUUGCACCAAAGGUAAAAUGAAGUGUUGUGCUUGAAAUGACUGACCUCAUAGACAUUAAACUGCUAUAUAGUCAAACGUUUGAAUCAUCACUAACAUUCGGAUAAGUUCUGACCUCAGUUAACGUAUCAAAACUUAAAGAAUCACCUCUCCUCUAAACUCGGAAUGCAUAAGUUUCAUAAUCUAAAACAUGACAUUUUUGUGUGUGGUCUUUCCACAUUUUUCCAAAUGGUAACCAAAAGCUUAUCACUAAGUUAAAACCGUACUGUUUACAUAUUUCUUUGUAUCUGAACUUCUAAUCAAGUGCCUGACAUCUCUCAAGCAUCUUAUUUCCUCCCAAGUCUUGAUUCUGUAUAAUAUUCAAUCAUUGAAUUCCAAUCUAUAUCUGACCUGCCCAUAAGAAUGUAAUUCCUUAAACUUUCAUUUCUUACUCAUUUUUUUUAUCAUAAUGGAAGGUUAAAUUUAGUUGCGGUUGGAAUCUCAUAUUGGGGAAUUUUCUUUGUAGUUGUGGAAUUUGUGUUGCAAUUAAUUAGGCUGAUACGUUUACUACAAUAUCUUGGAAAAUCUUUUGUAAUGUUUAAUAUGAAUAUUGCAAUUAAAUCAAGUUAAUUUCUCUUGUAAUUUUUGCCAGCCUCCUUCUUUUUAUUUGUUUUGUUUUUUAUGUUUCAUUCCAUUUUCCUUUUUGUUUGGCUGCCCUACUAUUUUGCAAUCUUUUCCUAUGUCACAUCCACACUCCUGCUCUUUAAAUACCCAUUGAUCUUCUUUACACGCCCUUCUCAUAAUUGACCUUGUUUGCCUCUAUUGAGAUCACCGAUCUUUAGAUCUGUAAGAGAUGGGAAAGAAAAAGAAAAAGAAAUUAAUAUUUUGUGAUCAUAUAUAGUUUUACUAAUGAUUGCCACUGGUAUCCUAGAGACAAAGACAAAGGCUUGUGAUAGUGGGUUUUAAGGUGUCUAGAGUUUAUUAUAAUUUGUUCUAUUUGUUCCAUUCUUAGUUUUGUUGUUAGUCUUUGUUGAGCUAUGUGGAUAAGGCCUUUCUUUAGCGUAAACCUCCUCCUUAUUUGUAGAUAUCAUAUGGCUUGAUGCACUAUAAUGUGUUUACUUUCUUUCUUGUCAAAAUAAAUAAAUAAACAAAGGAACUUAAGUAAUUUGAAAUGUAUGGUGCACCAAAGUUAUAAUGGAUAGCACAUGCUGUUUGGUUUCGUUAUCUUAUCUCAAUUUUGGCCACAAAUUGUGCUAACUUCUAUAGUAGCACAUGCUUUCUUAGCUGGCUGGUGCCAUGGAAGUUCCAUGUGUCAUACUGAAAUGAAUUAUGACUUAUCAAUAUGGAGAUCCCUCUAUUGAGAAAGAAAAUAAUAAUUUUAUUUAGCAAGGUUUCUUUUUUGUUUUUUUUCCAAAACUUUUGUCCUUGACAAGAUUAGAUAAAUGGUAUCAUAAUCUUUUGGUCUGUUCAAAUUGACAUUGGAGAAAAAAGGACUCAAGCCUAGAUCAAUAAAUCAGCCGAACGGAGGGAAAUUUAUUCCUUCCUGAAAACCACAAUGAUAAGAGAACAAUUAGUCAACUUAUUGACUAAUUUUGCGAACUUAAACAAUGUCAACUUAGAUGAGACAAAAUUUUAGAUUCAUCUAAAACAUAAAGAAGAGAAAAUGAAGAAAUCAUCUAAAAAACGUUUCUUGUAAUUUUAAACUCAAUGUUUCUUUAUAAUGUGAAAGAUGAUGAGGUGAACAAGAACGAGCUAGAAGAGCAGUUUAUGAAUGUAUAAAAAGAAGAAGAGAUUUGUUGAGAUAUGAGUAAGGAGGUAGUGGGCAAUGCUCUUGGGCCUUGUAUUAUAGAAGGGUAGGGUGGGAGCUGGUGGGCUAUGGCUUCAUAUCUCAUAUAAUAAGAAGAGAAGAGAAGAAAAGAUAUAUUAAAAAAAUGCAUAUUCAUGUGCAUUUGGUAGCUUGGAACACAGGGUGAAACCUUCAAUCAAUUAUAUUGGUGGCAAAUUCUGGACCUUGUUUCUGCAAAAAAAAAAAAAACAUUUAUUGCUUAAAUGACCACACUUGAUGGGAUAUCAUCUGGAUGGAGGGUCUAAACUACCUGUAUUUCUUGCUACUGCUAUAUUGUCAAACUAUGACCCAAAUGCUUUCUGAAUUGAUGAAUUCCGUUCUAUAGCUAGUGGGAAUUGUAGCCCCCAUUUGUCAUUUUGAAUUAAUAAUUUUAUUGGACUAUCAAGUAUCUGGGGUGAUACAGCCACAUUAGGAGCUGCUAAAAUAAUAUUGCUAUGUUUUCCAAAUUUUUCAUUUACUCCUUUUUUUCUUUUUUUAAUGAAAGUGUCCCCUCCUUUUGAAGGCAUUACGAUGACCUAAAGUUGCAUUUCUCUCUGCAAAUGAAAGUUUGUAACCCACUUACAUGCUUGCUCCGUGUUGAAAUCUAGAGUAAUUAAGAAGGUAACGAAAACGCUUGUCUGUGCAUUCUUGUCUUCACCUGAACAAUAAUUAUCAAAUAAAUUUAUUUUCUGACACAUUUGACCAAGAUGCGUCUUCAAAUAUUUCACUAACAUGCAUUGGGACAAUUGCUGAAUAUCUGUAAUUAAGUAGGUGGCCAAAGUCCAUGGAGUUCGUCGCACGUGUUGAGGAGAGGACUGCACAGAUUUGCUUCUCACCUCCUACCUUUUGUUGCAUUAUAAAACUCUGAUAUUUGAUGUGGAAAAUUGAAAAUGGGUUCUCUAUUUAUUUAUUUCUAACUAUUUUCUUAUAAUUUCAUCUGUUUCAUAUCUAGAGUCUCAAUCAUUUCCCUGAUUGUAAGUUGUCUAGGAUUAGCUAGAAAUAGAAUAUCUGGUUGGAUUUCUUUGAGCCAAUAAUUAGACAAAAAAUCGGUGAGUGAUUUAACAUAUUUAGAUAUGAUUGAUUUUACAAUCUGAAGUCAUUAUAAUCCAAUCUUGAUUUUACAAUCUGAAUCCAUUAUAAUCUAAUCUUUUUCCUUUUCUGUUCUGUUCUUUGCCAUGAAAAAGUUGAUUAUGAUCCUUAUCUGUGGUUAAUUAUGGGAUUCUUAUUAAUUAUUAAGUGCAUAGUUAUAUUUAUACGUGUAUAUANAAUAUGAAUUUUUCCCUUCCCUCCAUUUUUUUUUUCUUUUUUGGUUGAUUAACUAAUUACCAAACGAAUCCUCUAGUAGAUGGAACAUGCUAUUUUUUUCCAGCACAUUAUUUUAUUUUUGUUAUUUGAUUGGUCUUUUAUUUUUCUUUUUGUUUUUUAUGCCAAUUAACUCAGCCACUUCAUUUUCAAGUUUUAAUGAAUUGAAGUUUUUGUGUUUGCCUUGUAUUGACUUCAUCAAUUUUGAUUUUUCACAGAGGUGUAUAAGUUUUGAUGUAAUGUUGGUAUCUCCUUGCAGAUUUGCAUCAGAAUCGAGCAUAAUUCGUUACGCAAAAAUAGCUAUGCAGUUGCAAAAUAAGACAGUCCGAGAUGUGGCUUUGCGUUGCAGAUGGAUGACUGUAAGCCUUACUGUUCUCAUAUGUCUUUAUUUAAACCCAUUAGUUAUUGUUUACCUGAAUUGUAGAAUGAAUAGACUCAUAUAUAUAACCAUAUUUAGAACAUAUAUCACAAGUGGCUUUAAGCAUGCUACUACUCAAAUAAGAAAGGCUGUAAACAUUGGAUUGCAAUUCAUAUUUUUGGUAUCAUUUCUUAAUUCGAUUUCUGAUGAUUUAGCAUUUCUGCUUGGUCAAAAGGAUAUUUAUUCUGUGUUUUCCGAGACAAAUUUUGUUCAUGCAGAUAUUAUUUGUUUUUUUUUUUUUUUUUGAUAUGAGCAUGAUCUGGUUUACGCUUUAUGCAGAAAAAGGAAAAUAGCAAGAGAAGGAAGGAAGAACACAAUUUGGCCAGGAAAAAAAAAAGAAAAAAAAAAGUAAAGAACAAAAAGGUAUGGUUUACUGAUUCUCUCUUUUCUGUGUGCGUAGCUGUAGUAACUUUAGUAAUUUGUGUUUUAUUUGUUCCUUGACCCUGCUUAGUUGGUUAUUUCUAAGAAUGCAUAAAAUUAGGCAUCAGCUAAAAAGCAAGUCUCUCUCUCUCUCUAUGACACUCACAUGCAGUCAUUUUCUAUUUAUCUGUCUGUCUAUCUCCUCUUUCACAUGGGCGCGCUUGAGGAGAUGCAAAUGACUGUUUCCAUUCACAGUGGAAAACUCUCUUAUACAUUAAGGUAGUGGACCGAAGCUCAUUGACCAUAGGAAAGUUAUUGAGUUUAGCAUAGUAUUUUAUAUUUUUCUUGGUAGAGAUGUUAGAUGGAGAUUUAACUAGUACCUGCUCCUAAGCAGCUAUUUCUUUGGUGGAAUUUGAUGGAUGACCUUAAGUUCAUGUGGCGUGUUCGUUAUCAUAUAUGCUCAAAUCACGUUAUGUGUGAAUUAGUAUAUAUCAAUGUCUUUUCCAUCAUCUUUUCUUUGAGGCCUUUGUUUUAUUGGAGCAGUCUUUUGUCUGCUGAUCAGUAGUUCUCUACUUCAACUGAUUUUUAGACUUUGGAAUAUAUUAGAUUGAAUAAGAAAAAUUUUCUUUCAAAGUUACAUAUUUGUGAUAAUAUUUUUUUAAUAUGAUGAGAAAUAGGGCAUAUUUAUAUUUUAAACCAUUCCUUGGAAUCAUAGAUACUUAGCAAUAGAUUUUGCUUGUGAUUUUCAGGAAAGAGUUGCUGAUCCUUCGACAAAGCCUGCUCAUUUUGCAGCUCGACCUAAUGUUUCUCCAUAUGCACCCCCAAUGAUUCCUAUGGACUAUGAUGAUGGUAUUCCGUACAAAGGUUGGAUUCUAUCUUUGAAGAUAUUUAGUUCUAAUAACUCAAGGUUUAGCGAUGUGCUUUGUUGCUUCUUAUAUGCAAGUUUAAUUUCCUUAAAAAUACUAUCUUUUAGUCUGCAUUUUUUAAUUAAAUUUUCUCUAAUCAGUUGUUUUCUGUUUUAUCAAGAUAUAUUUGGUAUAAUAUAAAAGAAGUUUUAUGUACAUCGUCUUGAGGCAGAGAGACAGAGUCUUAGUCUAUUAUGUUUUAUUACCUCACCAGUUGCAUUGCGUUUUUGGUGUUUUCUUAUAUGCUAUAUUUGUUCAUACCUCUUAUAGCUGGCAUCGAAGGUUGGUUGCUUGAGCUGUUUGUCAAAGAGGUUAUAAUAUUUGGUUCAAAAAAAAUGGUUAGACUUUUGAAGUAAUUCAACAGUAGGUGUUGAAGCAGUUUUUCUUUCUCUUUUUUUAGCCUACAUUUUUUGUGGCAUGACUUGGUUGGUUCCCUUUUUAUUUCUAGUUAUCUGCUUAAUAAACAAACAAUUUCAAGUAAAGAAAAGAAAGGGAGAAAAGUGAGACGAAAUUUUUCUGUUCUUACCAUGGAUACAGCGCAGGCAUGUUUUUCCCAAUUCUUUGCAGAAUGCAGGUGACAGAAAAAGGGUCCAAGACAUGCCUAAUAAUAUUACAGAAAGAAUUAUAAAGUAGCUGCAAUACUUCAUUUGGUUGGCGUUUUUGCCACUUGCUUUUGAAAAAUUACUGUAAAGAAAAGUAAAAGGUAAAAAGCAAUAUCAUAAUUUAUUCGAAAUGGGAAAAUAAUUAAAAUGUAACAUAAAUUACUGCAUAAUUAGUCCAUAUAAAAGUAAAAUAAUGCAUUUUGUGCAUGAUCUUUGAAAAAGAAUUUUGCUUUUAUAUUUAAAUGGGCUUGUUGCUUUUUUGCUCCUAAAAGCAAAAAGCAAAUAGUAAAAGCACCAACCAAGGUAGCCUAGCAAAUGUCUUUUCUGUUUUUGUUCUUCUGCAAAUGAAGCCUGAAUUUAGAUUUACAGUGUCUGAAAUUUGCUGAGCAUGAAAACUUUUAUGCUGUUUAUGUUGUUAUUGGAAAUUUAAUUGAAAGCUCCAUUAUGCUGUUGGACAGCCAUUGGUGGUGCAACAGGAGAACUUCUGGAGCAGAAUGCCCAAGCCUUCAAUCAAAUAUCUGCAAAUCUUGCAGCUUUCCAGGUGAAGUACCCAUGUUCUGAAUAGAUCAAUUUUACUUUAUUCUUCUGUUUAUUUAGUUUGCAUUCCAGUUUUCAAUGUGCAAGGACUAGUAUCAGAUUUGGGUCCCUUAACCCUGUCUUUUGAACAUCUUGAUUUCUCACUUCCUUUAAAUCUGGUGUAAGGUAUUUAUCAAGCACAUUGACUUUAUGAAAUCAUCUACCCUGGUGCCAAAUUCCUCUUUCUCUAAUACAUACUCAUGCCUGCAUGUGAAAGCAGUCAGGAAGUAGUGUGAGCACAAAAACUAUACGGUUGGAUACAACCAGGUCCAGUCUUCAUGUCCAUUAGUUGAUUCAAUAACUGGUAAAACAAGGAAUUAUUAAAGGGAUUUCUCAUUAUGUCUAAAUUUUACAAGGUUGGAUGAAAUUUAAAGGAGUGCUUUAUUUCUAUCUGUCCAAGAGAAGUAGUGUAUGCUUCAAAUGUAUUAAUAAAUAAAAGCAUUUGUUACUCUACAGGUGAAAGCAGUUGCUUCAUUCUGAGUUCAGAUUAGAAUUAGUUUGUUUGGGCAUUUUGUAUGCUUGUUAUAAAGCUACAGAAAAUUAUUUGUUUUGAUAUUAACAUCAUGAUGGUAUUGAUUUUGUUCAAAGGUUAAAGGAAUAAGUAUAGCAUGUCUGUGGAUUUAGAUUUCUGUAUACCUUUACCUAUGCUUUUAAAUAUUUAGAGAGUCUCUUCAUUUAAUAUCAGCUGUGAAUUUUUUUUUUUUUGAAAGUUCAUGAAUUCAUUAAAAACAGAGGGAACAAUUGUUCCACCUCUGAAAGGAACAGCAGAUUUUGUCCUGUUACACUUUCACUCAAGUACAACAUACCAAAAUCUACUCCAAAAUCAUAACACUUCCCCUAUAUACAUUUCUGCACUCAUCAUCCCCUAAUCACCUAAGUUAAAAACCCAGAGAGCCUCAAAGCACAAGAGGCCAUAGCGAAAAAGACACAAAAACAAAGGGUCAGUAUCAGCCCAGCUAUACAUUUUUCACAGCCAUUCCCUGUAAAUCCAACAUGUAAUUUUUUAGAGUUAGCAUUCUUCAGAGUGUAGCUGCAACAAAGAACAUGUAAAAGUGACAUCAAUUAUGACUGUCAUACCAGUAAAUAGCAUUUCUAGCUGUUCAUGUGGAUUAACCAAACAUUCUGAUGUGCUAUUUGUUUGCUGCAGUUUUGGUGGUUCUCUAACAGAAUUUGUCGCCUUUAUCAUUUUUCAGAUACAGGAAAAUAUUGGUCUCCUCUGCCAAACUCGUGACAACAUUUUAAAAAUCAUGAAUGAGUAAGUUCCAGUUUUUGCUGAAUUUCCCUUUCUAUGAUACUAGUAUCUAUUGUCUCAUGCAUUGCGUGUGAAUACUUGUUCUUUCACUUGUUUUACUAACAAUUAUAUAUAAGAUACAGAUAAUUAUAAAAUAUAAAAUUGUAGAAAUAAUUAAAAUUUUGUAAUAUUAAUUUAUAGAUGAUUCAAUACUAUUAGAUUAAGAAAAACAUUUUUUUUACUCUUUAAAAAAAAUUUUUUUUUAAUGAAAGUCAUUAAAAUCAAAAUUCUUAUUUACAAAUUAAUACUAUUACAUUAAGAAAAGUAUUUUUUAAUGAAAGUCUUUCAAAAGAAUUAGACUUUUUAUUUACAAAUUGGAUAAAUUUUAUUAAUAUUUAUUGGAAAAAUUAUUUUUAAUGAUAGUCACUUGAUGUAAUUAGGAUAAUAAAAAACAUUUAAAAUAGCAAUUUAAAAAUAUAAUGAGUAACAGCUUUCAUCAAUGCAAAAUAUUUUCAACAUCUCUACUUUUGUACAUAUUAUUGAUAUAUGGUGAUUGAAAGUUUGAGUUCUUUUUUAUAAAAAAGUUGAGUUAUUUAAACAAUGUUCCAGCUUACGCACUGUUGCAAACUGUCUUUCUUGACAUGAUAAUUUGAUUAUUUAAUACAUUGUUUUCUCAACUGCUAGGAUGUAUAUGCAUGAGUGUUUGGCACCUGUAGGUGCACGGUAGGCUUGGAAUGCAAGUUUAUCGUCGUGGAUUUAUAAUUUAUUUGAAAAUAUUUUUGCAGUGUUUUGUGUAUUUGUGAGUGUCUCUGGGUUUCACUGGAUUAUACAGAACUACAAAUUAAUGUUUUUCUCAUCUCUUUUGUUCACCUUACUGUUAUACAAUUGGAAAAUAUGCAGGUCUGCUUCUGUUUUACGUGUGCUAAGUAUUGUUAAUGACAGUUGAACCGUCUUGCUGGGCAUAAACAUUAGUUAGUAUCUGCCUCUAGGAAUGCGUAUCUGUUGUUUUCAUCCAGGUUUUAGUUGUCUGGAUUGUGUUGUUUCUUUUAGAUUCUGCUUGCUGUUGUAUGGGGGAAAAUUUAUUAUCAAUGUUUUUGGAGAAGUUCCAUUAGCAAUUGGUUUAUCUUUCUAUUAAUGCUUCAUUCACUCCAAACCAAAAGCCAUUGCAUUCGACAAUCCAAGUUUGUGCUGAAGUUAGUAUAUUUAGGCACCCUUAUAAUCUUUAGCAUUGGAAGGUAAAAUUUAGGAAACACAGGGGUGGUUGAUGGAAAGGACUUAAAAGUUCAGCAGGUGCCCUUUGUAUUUAUGCUUAGGUUUGUUACAUGUCUGUUAUUUUGGCUUCCUCUCAUAUGGGAAGUGCCAGAGUUUACAAAAGAUUAAAUCACCUGACUUUAUCUAAUGAUAAUAUAAUGCAGUUUAUUGAGAUGUGUGGAAACUUCUCUUUGGGGGUUUGCUUGGUCUUGGCCAUUUCUCAAAUAUGAGAUAAUUUUAUAUUUGCAACAAUCCUGUUAUCAGUGCCAUUCAAAAUCAUCUUUGUUUUUACUGAACCCAGAUUGUUUUUCUUAAAAUAACUUACAUUGUGUAUUCUCUCUUGCUCUCUCUCUUCGGGGUACAGUAGUGUAUCCUCUAGUAGUUAUUAUUUCAUAAAAGUAAUAUUUCAUUUUUUUAUCAAUUACAAAUUUGCUAAUGGAUUAAAUUCCUGCCAAGUGAGUAUGCGAUUUUGAAGAGGCUAACUAAUUUUUGUAUAACCAAUAAUGCUUUUGGAUGCUUUUUUCUUGGUUUAGCUUGAGGAUUUUUGUAACUUGAUUAUCGUUUCAUUCACUAAUAUAAUUCUUCUAUGCUUCAUUUGCAGCUUGAAUGACAUGCCAGAUAUAAUGCAGCGAUGCCACCACUUCCCGUGAAAGUGAAUGAUGAGAUAGCUAGCACCAUCCUACCUCCUUCAACCCAUACGAUGCAAUCACGAUCCUGCCUCCGACUGAUCAAAGUCUCCUGAUUAGUUUCUGCGUAACAGUGCAUGGGACGAGUCUGUGCUCCUGCCUCAAACCUGAACGAGAAAAUAACUGUGGAUGAGGUUGACCCACCUUUUACCAUUUGAAAUAAAUUCUCUUCCCUCCUUGUAUGUAGAGCCUUGGUAGCUUCAUGGUUCCUUUUGGUUUCUGUACUCGAUAGUUUGUUUCUUAGCUGAUACUGUAGGAGGUGAUUUAGGGCUUGUAUAGGGGCACAUAUACAUUAGAAAAGAGUUUAAAUAUCAAUUUUAAUUCUUUGUUUCGUUAUAGUUUUUGCAAAUUUGUCUCUCCUUUUUAUUUGUAGAGUGUUUUUCUUGGUCUACCGACAGGUGAGGCUGCGAAUUGUGGAUGUAGAAAGAUUGUCUGGCGGGUUGGCUCACAGCAUGGUAAUGGGUUUGAACUUUGUAUAUCUGAUAUCUAUUUUUGGGUAAAUUAUCACCCAAGGAUCAUGAUCACGUAAAUGCUAUGAUGUCAAGAGCGAUGCAAGUGCAGCCGUUUGAUUUGAAUAAUUUAGGGUGGAAGCAGCAUUUUAUUGACUGCAAUUUGUAAGUAGCGAAAUUUCCUUGCUAAUGUCCUACAUGCCCACCAUUUGCGCAAUAAAUUAUCCUCCAAUGUACGUUCUAGAAUUGGACUCGUCUCUACGGCGUAGCCGACGUUUUGAUGGUAACCCUUUUAUAUUAUAUUAUUGGGACGAAUUCUUCAGAAAGCCUAAACAAAUUCAAGGCAGGAAAAGGAUUUCAACUUUCUAUUGAAGAAACGAGCAUAACUGAAUCAAUCCAGAGUCCUUGCCAAAAACAAUAUAAAAAUUAAAAAGCUCCCUUGUUAUGAACCUUCAAGGAGUGCACGUCAGUCAUUAUGUUGACGUGUGAUGUGAAUUAUUUUGUUUGUCCCUCUUCUUAUUAAAUCUUUUUAAGAUAAUAACCCUUAAAUCAUCUGAAUUCUUUUCUCCAAAAAUUAAAAAGAAAAAGGAAGCAAACCUGUACAUUUUCAAAGUAACUGUGCGUGAAGGUAGCGUUGUCAUUUUCGAAUAAGAAAUUUAACCACGUAACCCAAACGAUAUGUGGAAGUACAAUAUUUCUCUUUGUUGUGUUUAAGCGACUUAAAUGAAAACAAAUAGACGAAGGAAACGUGGUCUAAAGACGGAAGCCACAAAGUUACUAAAAGCUAAAAAUGGAGCCAGGCUUGUUGACGAAGGGUGUGACUUUAACCCUCACACGUAGGAGGGACAAACCUUUCACGCAACUGGUUGAGUUACCUCUAAGAAGAUGCCAUAUGUCAUUAUCAUAAUUAAUCAAACACAUGGACCAUCUUAUACCUUCUUAAUUGGCUAUUAUUUAAUUUAUGGCCUAAGAAGUAGCUUCAUUUAUAUAGUUUAAUAACCUUUUAAGUUUAUAUAGCACUUGAUUGCUUAAGCAAAUUGCAACCCUGAUAUUGUCAUGUUUGUCAUCAUAGAUUGAAAUGUCAUGGUUUUGUUCUUAAACUUUUAUUUCUUUUUUUUUUAAAUCCUUUUCUUAAUUUGAUUAAAAAUAUUGUUAAUCCAUUAUAAAAAUAUCUAUGAUCAUAUAUAUAGAAGUAAGGAUGUGGGUAAAAUGUUUUAUUGAGGAAAGCAGACAUUCACUUUAAUUAAACUUUGAAAUUGUCAUUUCAGAUUAAUUUUUUUGUUUAUUAUAAUCUAUUGUUUUAAUAAUAAAAUUUAUUUUAUGAAUAAAAAAAGAGUUUUAAUUAUAUUGAACUGUUAUCAUUAGCAUAAGAUUUUUAAGAUAUUGAUUCUUUAUAUAACUCUUAACUAGUAAAAUUUCAUUAAAAAAGUAUUAGAUUAGAGUUCAUGAGUAAUUAAAUCUCAAAUUAUUAUAUAUUGACAACUUUAAUUUUAAUAUCAUCCUAACGUCAAAAGAUUUGACAAGUAAGGAUUUUAUUUUAUUGAUUUGGGCUUAGGAAUUAAAUAUAUGCUUAUUUUCUUUGCAUGGCAAAUAAGAGGUUCUUCGAGACAAGGUAAAUUUCUCAAAUAAUUUCUUUUUUUUUUCCUUUGAUUCAUUUCAUUGAAUAUUACUAUGCAUAUUUUUUAUUUUGUUUCCAUGAUUAUAAUUUAUCGAUUUUGAAAUUGAAGGGAAAUAUUCAAGUUUAAAAUUAAUUAUACUAAAUUAAUAUAUCAAAUCAAUUUGCAUGUUCUUAUUUAACAAUACCUGUCUUUGUAUUGAUAGAUACUCAGACAUUAGUGAUACUUUUUUCAUAUUUAAAUUUAUUUUUAUACAAAUUAAAAUUUUAAAAAAUAAAUAUAUUAUGCUUGCAACCGUAGAAAAAUGAUAUUUGAGUCAAAUUUCGAAACAAAAACAUAGGGAAAAAUUGUAUGGUCUAAUCAAUUAAGAUUUGGAUUUUCUUGGUUUAGUUAAACUUUAGUUAACAGAUCGAAAAAGUACAGUGUCAAAGAAGGAGAUGCCAGCCCCCCCUUGAAUUGAAUAUCUGUUUAUAACUUCAAGUUGCAGUAUUAGGCAUAUGUCUUUUGUCACUUACCCACAUGAUUUUUUUUGUUUCAAAAUCCAUAACUACAGUUUUGUCAUAUUCAGACAACCGAAAUUGCUCAGUUUCCUUUGGUUGUAUCUUUUUGACUGUGCUUUUUUAGACAAAAACAUGGAGAAAAAGAGGGCAAUUUAUUAAUGAAGUGCAGAAGAUGAAAAGGAAAGGAAACCGUGUGCAAACCUUUGUUUCUUCUGAUUUUCUUCAAUUAUUUGGUUUUUUUCUUUUCUUCUUUUCCAAAAUUUAUGAAAAUAAAGAAAAAGGAAAUUGAUCCCUAGUCUCCUUUGUAGCCUACCAUUUUACUUUUAGCCAUCCCUUUGGAUCCAACGAAGACAAAUUGAUUUAUUUUUACAAGUCAGCACAUAUGAAAUAUGACCAUACUCUUGACGGAAAGGCAACCAUCUUGACCUGAAAACUUGGUUGUUUCUUGACUUUUACGAGACACACACAGAGAGAGAAAGUGUUUUGGUUAGAAUCGGAUGCGUUUCAGACAACCCCACUUGAAACGAAUGAAUACAUAUAUUUGGAAAGCUGAGGAGUUGUUGUAGUUUUCAGAAGUGGGUUCAGUUGAGAAACUUCAAACUUCCCUCCAUCCUCUCUCUCUCUCUCUUUCUCUCUCUACACAAAGUAUAGCCUUCGGCGCACAUGC
This 22884-nucleotide long non-coding RNA is filed under the name Theobroma cacao (cacao). Its description in RNAcentral is "long non-coding RNA (TCAC_LNC002696)". The record is from RNAcentral. Lineage: Eukaryota; Viridiplantae; Streptophyta; Magnoliopsida; Malvales; Malvaceae.